Molecule: long non-coding RNA, 3894 nt
Organism: Trichoplusia ni (cabbage looper)
Lineage: Eukaryota; Metazoa; Arthropoda; Insecta; Lepidoptera; Noctuidae
Exons: 2
Source: RefSeq, a predicted model, not a curated record
UUCCUAACACGUUAUUGUAAACAAGAAUUCAAUAAAAUAAUCACUCAUCCAACAGUUUCUUUUUCUCUAAACUAUCUCCAGCGUCACAAAAUAUUUCUACAAGCUCCUCCCAAUUACGUUUUUUAAUCACUUUAUUCUUAUAAUCGGGACUUUCCAUAUCCCAGAUCGCUGGUCGUUUUUGAAUUUCAUCUAUAAACAAAUCUGAAUCGAAAUGAAAAGAAAAAUAAAAAAAGAUACUGGAUUCAUCCUUUACUAGAAAUGGUGCUCCCACAUUGCCGUUUUACAUUUACUAACAAAUGUUAACAAUUGUUGCACUUUGUUAGAAACUGUUACAUGUUAUAAGUGCUCCUACAUUGAUGAAAAUGUUUAAACAUUUUAUAACAUCUAGUAUUGGCUCGCAGUUUGGUUUCGCCUUCUGAGGGCCGAGGACGUCUACACGAAAAUGGAAGAAGAUUUGCUCAUUGGAAUAGCUUUUAUUUUUUGUUUAAAAAAAGAAGAAAAAGCGCUCUUAUUGGAUGCGCCAAACGCUAAAAGCUAGAGGAAAAUAUAGUGCCACAGACUAUCUCAAGGAUUUGGGUAUUGACGGUUGCUUAAAAGAUUUUAUAAGAAUGAACAGUUCCGAAUUUGAAUAUCUACAAAAUUUAAUUGGGGCAAAAAUAGGCAAACGAGACACUACAUUUAGAAAAUCUGUAAGUGUGACGGAAAGACUUGCGGUAACGUUAAGAUUUUUGGCAACUGGUAGCAGUUAUAAAAGUCUUGGAAAUGUGUUCAAGUUGUCAGACCAAGUGAUAUCUAUUAUCGUACCAGAAGUGUGCGAGGCUCUCAAUGAGGUUUUAAAGGAAUACAUACAGAGCGUGAACACAUCGGCGCCCCUUCUACGCCAAGCCACAAAUUCAGUACAAAAACCUACAAAAAAAAAAUAGUGAUUCCAACAUCUUAACGAAAAGUUAUCGAUAACCAAUGAAUCCGUGCUUUUCGUUCUAUAUUUUUUUAAUAAAUAUUAUUCGUUGCAUUGGUCUUUUAUUUAACUUGACCCUAUUUACCCGGUAUCAUACUAUCAUUAAACAGCAGUUACUAAGUUCUAAGCAACCUAAAAGCAAACAUUAGAACUACAAACGAAUAAAUCAAUAAUAAGGUACAUCACUAAUCUGGUUCGUGACGUCAUCCGCCGACGUGAAGACACGUCUCUGGCGUGGCUGGCACGACUUUUGACAACUUUCUCGCAUGCGAGUAGGGAUGUGAUCAUGUGAUAUUGUGGUACAUAAAAAAUAAUAAUAUUUUAUUAUUUAAAACAAUUUAUCAUUUUACAUAUAAUUAUUAGUCGGAUUCUUCGAAACUUGGCAAACUUAUAUCAUCCAAGUCCUUUUGCUGUCUUACUUUUCUUAUUACGUUCAGUAUAUUGACAUAUGUGACUGACCGUUUUUCUUCUGGCACUCGAUCCAAUUCAAAAGCGACCAGUCUUGCGAACGCCGCAGUUCGUGGGUCGCUAGGUCCUGGUUGGGCAAAAUCCAACGGAGGUAAAUUAGAAACGUCACACCUUAAUUCAUUUGCGUCCCAUACGCUCCGUUGAUAAGUGUUUGCACUCGUUAUAUCUUCUGCAGAAACUUGUAUUUUUAUAGUUUUCUUUGUCGUUUCUUCAUUUGAAGAUGCCUUCCUUUUGCGACUUAGGUCACUUAUUAUGCUUGGUGAGGAAGGUCCAGCUAUAUCCUCAGGAGAAGACAUAAUUAACACUUUUAUAAACUUAACAAACUUUUUAACUUGUCGUAACUUGUAAUUACGGCAACUACCUACCUAUGAUUACUCUAUGAUCAAAACUUUUCUAGUAUUCUAUCUUUUUUAGUGUUGCCAACCAAAAUGAAAAAAAUAUAAUGAACGAAUGAAAUCACUACAUAAUAUAAUUUAUGGAAAGGAUCUGCUGCAGAUGUAAGCUAGUAUGCAAUAAGUUUCAUUCAAUUAAGAUUUUCCUGAAUCUGAAAUUAAACUAGUUAGUAAACGAAAAAAAAAAUACAAGUAAAUAAUCAGUCUUUUAAUUGUGUUAUUCUCGGAAUUACUAAUAAUAUUAUUUAAAAAAAUAAAGCAUCAGUAGUGAGUGCUAAUCUCUAUGGAUACUGUUUUGUGCCAGCACGACCUCAGCGUCGAAACUAGUCACAGGUAAUCAAAACACUUAAGGUGAUAACGUCAGGGUAGCCCGCGAAAUUCAAAUUUUCUUUGUUUUUUUGUAAUUUGCUGGUCAGUGUUAGGAUAUAUUAACCAAAAUAUGAUUCGCGAUCGUAACACGUAUGCCUUUAUAUGAUUAUAACAUUAAAAUCUUCAAAACAACCUUCUUAACCCAAUGAUGGUCCGAUUCACAAUAAUUCAUACCUACAAACUUAAAUUAAAAAUAUAAAAAGGUUGGAAAAAUUGUCAUUUAUAAAUAAAAAAAUCAUAUGAAAUUAUUUAAAUUAACAGUGAUAUUUUUCACUUUAGCACACAAAUAGACCUUGCAUAUUUUACAAGCGUACUUUGUUUCUUUUCUUUUUUUUAUAACUGCGCAUUGUCUACAACGUCGGUAUUUGCCCAUAAGGGUCGGCAUGUGAUCAUUGUUAUUUUUCGACAGUAUACGAAGUGGGUUAUGACUACUGCUUAUGGACUGAGGUAGUGUAUUGUGACUAUGAAAAUUUUCUAUAAUUUGGCGAAUAAGAGACAGAUGAAAUUUUGCAAAAUGUAAAUUUGGAAUGUUAUUUAUUUCCUUAUAACAGAAAAAAGGAUUUAAUACGUGCAUAUCAAUUAUGUGGAGAAACAACUUUUUAUACCAUUUUAUGGUUUUUCUUAUGCACUGUAUUGAAGACAGUAACAUGUCAGCCGUAUCAACGCUUCCCAUAUUUUUGGAAUAGUCCAAAACUGCAACACUGCACAUGCAACAAACAAUAAAGUUUACAAAACAAUAAAAAUUCUUAACUAAGCCAAAAUUAAAAACAGAUUAAUCAUACAAAAAAACACACAAAAAGUUUCUUAAAACUAACCUAAAACCUAGUGUUACCCCCCCGUGCCCGGAUGACGGCUUCCAUACGCUCCCUCAUGGAUCUCACCAAUUUUAGGAGCUCUUCUUGAGGGAUACUAGCCCAUUCCUCAAUAACGGCCUCUUCAAGUUCCUGGAGAGUCGUAGGAGCGGGAUCACGAGACCGAAUCUUGCGUUUCAAAUGGUCCCAGAGGUGCUCUAUCGGGUUCAGAUCUGGACUUCUCGCUGGCCACUGCAUGACAGAGAUCCCAACCUCUUGAAGGUAAUCGCGCACAAUUAAUGCAGUGUGAGCGCGAGCGUUAUCGUGCAUUAAUGUGAACCCCUCGCCAAUAAAACCGGCAUAGGGAACCACAUGCUCUUCCAGGAUCUCUGUUAUAUACCGGUGAGCAGUCAACGAUCCGCGAGCACCUGCGAGCUGCCCGGAGCUGUUGUUGCAACUCAACAGCAUUAGAAAACCGAUUUCUUAAAGAUGUCGAUACGAUGAAUCGGUCGUCUCUCUCCGAGGUGCAGCGACGUCUACCAGACCCAUGCCUCCGGACAUGGCCACCGGUCUCUAGGAACCGCUGGUAUACUCUUCGAACCGAAAAACGGCUCAAGUUCAGUUGCCGAGCGACAUCAAACUGUCGCAUCCCUGAUUGCAGUAGUGCAAUCACUUGAGCGGAUUCAUCAGCAGUAGUAUCCAUCUUCAAGGGGUUUUUUUUUUGUGAACGAUCUUCUCGUGUGUCCUCUUCAACGGUUGGAUAGCGAAUGACCCCAAUUGAACCUGUAUUAACCCUUUUAUACCCACUAAAGGUAGCGCAAGUUGUGGCCCCGCUGAGGAGCAAAAUUUGCCUUUUUUUAUCAAGUUACAUUUGUGGUAUCAAACUUUUUUUUAAUUAAAUGAAAUGGUGUUUUUU